This 468-nucleotide ribosomal RNA is filed under the name uncultured bacterium. Its description in RNAcentral is "partial 16S ribosomal RNA". It matches the Rfam family "Bacterial small subunit ribosomal RNA", at positions 28 to 507 of the family's 1533-position model. The record is from RNAcentral.
GACGAACGCUGGCGGCGUGCUUAACACAUACAAGUCGAACGGUGAUGCUCCAGCUUGCUGGAGUGGAUCAGUGGCGAACGGGUGAGUAACACGUGAGCAACCUGCCCCAGACUCUGGAAUAAGCGCUGGAAACGGCGUCUAAUACUGGAUACGAAACUGGCCCGCAUGGGCAUGGUUUGGAAAGUUUUUCGGUUUGGGAUGGGCUCGCGGCCUAUCAGCUUGUUGGUGAGGUAAUGGCUCACCAAGGCGACGACGGGUAGCCGGCCUGAGAGGGCGACCGGCCACACUGGGACUGAGACACGGCCCAGACUCCUACGGGAGGCAGCAGUGGGGAAUAUUGCACAAUGGGCGAAAGCCUGAUGCAGCGACGCCGCGUGAGGGAUGACGGCCUUCGGGUUGUAAACCUCUUUCAGAAGGGAAGAAGCGAAAGUGACGGUACCUGCAGAAGAAGCACCGGCUAACUACGUG